Long non-coding RNA from Gymnodraco acuticeps, 791 nucleotides. RefSeq lists it as uncharacterized. Lineage: Eukaryota; Metazoa; Chordata; Actinopteri; Perciformes; Bathydraconidae. The transcript is spliced from 3 exons. The record is from RefSeq and is a predicted model, not a curated record.
AUUCACUUACAUUACGGCGCGUCGAUUAGUUCCAGAGUGACAGCGCGCAGAGCAUAUUGGAACUCUACAGGUCAUGCUGGACCUCCAGGAUUGUUGUUGUGGCCAUCACCAGUCCUGUCUGGACUGGUUUCCAGCUGCCCUUGGGACCGAUCUUCAGGCCCCGAAACAGAUGAAUGGAGUCCCGGAGGAAGCUGAUGGCCUUAUCAUACUCCUCCAUCUUGAAAUGACUUAGGGCAGUAACAGUGUUGCGUGACGACAUGAGCUCAAACUUGUUGGUGUCCAAUGUUCAGUCACUGUAUUGGUAAGUAACCAUUUGUUUUGGCCAAAAUGUGUUAUUCACACUCCUGACUCCAGUUUGAUGUGCUGCAUUCUCCUCUGAGUGGUCCUGAUUUCAGGCAGAGGUCAUGGCUUGGAAGGUUUUAUAUUCUGUAGUGUCUCAACAGAACCUAAUAUGAAUUGCUUUAUUGUCUCGUCGCUGGAUCACCUCCCCCUGGCAAAGUGGCCUCGUUAUUGUUGACAAACCUGUUUUUGUUGCUGGUUCAACAGUAGCUUCUGUAAAUAGUUUUGUAAAUAGUUUGAAUAUUUAUCAUAGUAAUCACUUUUAGUCUCCCACUCUCAAUUUAAUUUAUCGUUUCUUUGCCCCACCAUAUAUUUUGUUGUCCAAGGGCACUAAUUUGGUCUGUGUUGAAGAUUGUUUUACACUUUAGAUCAGGGGUCUUCAACUAAAAUUCAACGAGGUCCAGUUAGAGAAAAUGUCCCCAUGCAAAGGUCCGGAACAUCAAAAUGUCUAA